UGUUGCGCUCUAGGGUGCAACAAUGAAUACUUAUUUAGUGAAGCGUGUAACAAUAUUUUUAUUAUAUAUGAUUAUUUAGAAUUGCUCCUUCAUUUUAAUUAAUGUGAUGUAUGUACUCUGGAGUAAGAAUAUUGAAUAUAACCCAAACAAUAUAAGAAUCGAUAUGUAUUGUACCUAUCGGAAAGGUAUGAAAUACCAGAACUAAUAUCUAAAUGAAUACGAAACAAUAAAGAAUGCCAGCAACUGCAAGAGAGCUGCAGAAAGGAUUUAUGAGAUCAUCACAGUAACGUCACAACAGAGGAUUAACUGGGGUAGAACAUAUAGAAUACAGGAUUAACAGAGAACUUGUUUACAACAUAUCUAGCUUUAUAAGAAUAUGGAUGCUGCUGAAGACUGAUUUUGAAGAUUUCCAAGUGUUGGAGAAUUCGCUACUAGAAUAUUUGCACACGAAGGCCUUCAUCAAUAGCCUUACAUUCAAUUGAUAAACGUGAGUUGAAUGAAAGAAAUGGCAGAAGCAGCAGUUUCAAGUUACGAGAAGAGUAUUGUCAUUUAUGAAGCCGAC
This is a long non-coding RNA of Centruroides sculpturatus (bark scorpion), 562 nucleotides long. RefSeq lists it as uncharacterized. The transcript has 4 exons. The record is from RefSeq and is a predicted model, not a curated record. Lineage: Eukaryota; Metazoa; Arthropoda; Arachnida; Scorpiones; Buthidae.